AAUACGAUUUACGUGGAGCUCGUGAAGGCGUCAUGCCUAUCACAUGGUGAUCGUUGAGGGAGGUCGCGCUACCAGGCAGAGUACAGACGAGCGAAAAGUACGGAGUUCAGAGCAUCUUUCCUCUGUGAGUGUGUUUUAUGUGUGUGGUAGGACCAUGUAUGUUCGUGUGCUCGCAUUAUCAUCACCUGUGCCCCGAAAGCCAAAUUAAAGGAUUUGUUUUGAUGAAGCUUCAGAUGAGUUGCAUACCAACCUGAGAUCUGAUGCUUCCCACCAUCACUAUGGAAAUAGAGGCCAGUCACAUGCUGGAGGCGGCACUGGAGCAGAUGGAUGGCAUCAUCGCUGGUUCAAAAGCAGCAGCAGUGGAGUUUUCUAACAGCAUGUAUGACCUGGGUUCUCCCAUCAGUGCUGGUCCACUGCAGGUUGUUCAGUUAGCUGAGGACCUGAAGCUGGCCUUGGAGCUCCAACCCAACCAGGAGGAGAGAGACAGCCUCAGAGCACAGUUACCAACAGAAACGGCACGUGCUCUCAUAGACUGGCUCCAGAGUGGAACAGUGAACCUGUGUUCUCCAGGCGGUGAUGAAACCUACCAAGAGCGACUGCUUCGCCUAGAGGGAGACAAGGAGUCCCUGGUGCUACAGGUGAGUGUUUUGACCGACCAGGUGGAGACCCAGGGAGAGAAGAUCAAAGAUCUAGAAAGCUCUUUGGAGGAACACCGGCUUAAACUGGCUUCCACUGAGGAGAUGCUGCAGCAGGAGCUGAUAAACAGGACCUCACUGGAGACUGAGAAGCUGGAUCUGAUGGACGAGGUGUCCUGUCUCAAACUGAAGCUGGUUAGCGUGGAUGAGACUCACACACACCUGCAAGAUCCUACGAACACAAAGCAGAGCAAAGCUGAGGAUUUGCCACAAGAGGUGAAGCAGCUGAAAAGCAAAGUGGAGGAGCUGGAAGGGGAGAAGAGCCAGUAUGAGAGAAAACUAAGAGCUACCAAGGCAGAAAUCUCAGAGCUGUAUGGGCUCCUGGCCACCAAAGACGCUGAGAUCGAAUACCUGCAGAACCAGCUGCAGGCCAAAGGCAGCACAGUCAGCGACCGCGCAGAGAGAGAGGAGGUGUAUAUCAAGCAGCUGAUUAACAAAUACCAGGAAUACCGGAGGCUGAAGGUGGGGAUGGAGUCUCUGUUAACUUCAAAUGAUGAAAAGGAUCGUCGUAUAAAGGAGUUGACCAUUCUGCUUGGCCAAUACAGAAAGAUGGGGGAGGUCCAGGCACUCACACAGGGAAGCAGUGAAGAGGAACUAAGUAGCAGUUUAAAACUCAGAGCUGUCACACACAAAGCACACUCUGAUAUCCUCAGGUCAGAGAUGUCAUCAAGAGGAUCUUCUCCACUUAUGUUAUCUUCAUCCCCUUACCAGAGAGAAUUGGAGUCCAGUAUUCAGAAUUCUAUGAACACAUCGCUGGUGUCCACUGGAGAUGCAAGCGUCUUUAACGGAUCAUGGCAUCAGCACAGGUUGCUGUCCAGCAGCCUUGAAGAGCUGCAGAGUGGAUCCUUACAACAGGCUACAGAGAUCCAGCCAGUUGAAACCGACGUAGGGGCAGAGAAUCCUCCCAUGGAGCUGAACAAGUACCAGACCCUGCCAGGUAAGCUGAGUAAAAAGAGAGAGCUGAGGGCUGAGCUGAAUGGUGACAGAGAGAGAGACAGAGAAUAUUCGUCUCCUGUCCAGCUGUGUCUGGUCCACAGCCACAACCAGGACUGCAAUCUGAUUCGCUGCAGGAGUGCCAGUGCUCCGGCUUUAGGAUCUCCAGGAAAACAUGACCUCUAUGAUGUUGGGUGUUCAGAGAAGCUGGAGGAGUGCAUCCUGUCAGACCAGUCCCCUCUGUCCUCUGGAGUGGACUCUGGACAGCAGUCCCCUGUCUCACCAGAGAACAGGAAGGGUCACAGAGGCAUUAAGAAACUCUGGGGAAAGAUCCGUCGCAGCCAGUCAGGUAGUGCUGUCCAGUUUCAUGAGCCAGACCUGGGACAAUUCAAGAGGGGAGGCUACAGAGCCACAGCUGGACCACGACUGGCUGAUUCAUGGAACACACAAGACCUGAAGAUGCCUUUUUCCAAGUGGAGCACAGAGCAGGUGUGUGACUGGCUUGAGGACAUUGGACUCGGUCAGUACAACAUCCUUGCUCAGCACUGGGUCAGCAGCGGUCAGACUCUGCUGUCAGCCACCUCACAAGACUUAGAGAAGGAGAUGGCAAUGAAGAAUCCACUACACAGGAAGAAACUCCUGUUAGCCGUCAAGGCGAUCAGCAGCAAGCAGCCUGAGAAGUCUGCAGAGCUUGAUUAUGUCUGGGUCAAUCGCUGGCUUGAUGACAUCGGCCUUCCUCAGUACAAAGAUCAGUUUAAUGAAGGAAGAGUGGAUGGACAGAUGCUGCAGUACCUCACUGUGAAUGACUUAUUAUUCCUGAAAGUGACGAGCCAGCUCCAUCACCUCAGCAUCAAGUGUGCCAUUCACGUUCUCCACGUCAACAAGUUCGACCCUAGCUGCCUCAAACGCAGGCCCAGCAAUGAGAGCCAGUUCACUCCCAAUGAGGUGGUCCAGUGGUCCAACCACCGAGUUAUGGAGUGGCUGAGAUCUGUGGACCUGGCGGAGUACGCACCAAACCUGAGGGGCAGUGGUGUGCACGGAGGGCUGAUAAUGCUGGAGCCCCGGUUUAACUCGGACACGCUGGCCAUGCUCCUGAACAUCCCUCCUCAGAAAACACUGCUGAGACGCCACCUAACCACCAAUUUCAACAAUCUGGUAGGAGCACAAGCUCAGCAGGAGAAGAGGGAGUACGUCGAGGCGACGGGCUACACACCUCUCAGCAUCACAGCUAAAGUCAAGCUAAAGAAACUGGGCUUCUCUAACUUGACUUAUCUCAGGAGAAGACGGCCAGAUGAGUCCACAGACUACGUCUGUCCCGUCGAGUCAUCCCCCCCUCAGUCGGAACAGUCUGCAGUGAACGGUGUGCAGAUGCAGCCUUACGCCAGCUUCAGAGGCCUGAGCCCCAUCUUGGACAGAGAGCCUGACCGCUCCAGGGACCAGAUGGUGAUCACUGAGAGUACCAUGUUGCAAAUAGAAGCUCUGUCUGAAAGCAUCAACAACCUCACAUACCUGCUCAGCCAGGAGGAGCUGCGGAAGGAGCUGAGGCGGUCUCAGAUGGCGCUAGUUUGAAGGACAAUGACCCGAUGCUGUUGGCUCACUUAUGCUGUAGCAGCCAAUCUCACCUCUGAACUGAACCACAAGCCCUGGGCCUAACACUACAGUGUGGAGCUGAUCACAUCUUCUCCUACUGGCCACUGAUGCCUCAUGUUAUGCUUACAGUCAUUCUGCAGUCACACUGUACAAUGGACCUAGAAACGUUAGUGAACAAAAGUCACAGUGUAUUUUCUACAAUGACAAACUAAACUGUUAUUCAUGAGCCAUCUGUGGCAUCCCCCUUUGCAGUGUACUGCCUCUAAUGAUCAUAUUGAUCGCUGUGGUACUAUGAAGGCUACUGACCACUUCAUAUUUUGUAGGCCUACUGUGCUAAUGUUGAGAGAACAGGGUCUAGUGAGCCAUCACUAGUUUUGUGGCAAAUAUGCACAGUAUAAUUCCUUUUUCUGGAAAGUUGUUAUAAACGUUCAUAUUCAGAUGAGGUAAGAGUCUGAGUUGGUGUUUAGUGCUAUUAGCAAAUCUUAGUAUGCUUAUGCACUAAUAUGCACUAACAUAUGAUGCACAUGGUAAAUACUAAACCUGCUAGACAUCAGCGUGUAAGCCUGUUAGCAUGAGCAUUUAGCUCUAAGCACCAAAGUGCCUACAGAGCAGCCUAAACCUAACACUAGCUCAUAUGGACCCCUCGUAAAUUUGAGGCCUAUGAGGACUGGAGAUUGAAUAGAAUGCCUCUGAAACUUAGUUUUUGUGUUCGAGUGACUGCAGGUGCAUGAUUAGAGCUCCUUAGCUGAAAGUCCAGGGACAGUUUACAGAUGAGUUUGAAAGAGAAGCAGGGGAUAAUGCAUUUAAGAUUGUCAUCUGACAGCUACUGGUGCAAAACAAUAGGAGAAGAAGGUUAAUCAGUCAGGUAUGCUGAGGUAUAAAAUGUGCAAAUGAGAGGGGAUUAAACAGCACAAGAAAAUGGAAAUAAUAAAGAAAUCCAAAAGAUUCUGGAUUCUUUUCCAGGUGGAGCCUGACCAAUACAUAUUCAACAUACUCUGUUUUAGGUUUAUAUUACUAACCACUUACAGAAGAAAAGGUAAUCAACAACUAAAACAGAUAUUUUGAUAAAUGACAGCAGACUGGUACAUUAGAUUGUAACAGAUUGUGAUUUGUGGUUGACAGAAUAAAAGCACACAGGGUCCAGUGAGUUGUACACAGGUCAUGUUCGGGAAUGAGGAAAGUAACCUCAUGUAAACACAUACAGUAUAAUACUGUACCUGCAUUAGGGCAAGGCAGCUUUAUUUAUAUAGUACAUUUUAUGCACAGAGGCAAUUCAAAGUGCUUUACAAAGACAAAAAAAAUCAUCCAACUCUAUAAAUAUAAACUCUCCUUUCAUCAUCUAACAGACAAUAGAAAGCCACACUAUAAGUUUUCAAUCUGACCCUACAUGUCCUAAGCACUUCCAUCUGAAAAGAGACGGUUAAGCUUUCUGUUUACCCAUCAAACCCUUCAGGCUUACCCCAGUGCUGAAGCUGCUGCUGCCAAUUAACUGGUAAGAUGAGUCUUUUGUUGACUUACCUAAAAUUUGUCAAGUUACAGACACCACACCCAAACUAACACUGUUGGCAGGAACACCCCCUCGACACCUAGGAUAGACAAUCCUUUUUAUUUUACUGAGGGUUCUGUACAUGUCAGGACACUGAAGACUGACCUGCACAUACACCACGAUACACACAUACGCACACUAUAUCUCAGCAGGGCAGAGGACAGGAGCGCAGUGCUGCUAGUACACUUGGAACUGCAGAAACCUCUAGACCAAUUCUGUGUAUCAGGGAGACCACCCUC
Monopterus albus (swamp eel) is the source of this 5003-nucleotide RNA transcript. It is a transcript of the gene named PPFIA binding protein 2b, with no coding region annotated. The transcript has 31 exons. The record is from RefSeq and is a predicted model, not a curated record. Lineage: Eukaryota; Metazoa; Chordata; Actinopteri; Synbranchiformes; Synbranchidae.